RNAcentral lists this long non-coding RNA (1098 nucleotides) under Gossypium barbadense (sea-island cotton). RNAcentral's name for it is "long non-coding RNA (GBAR_LNC014922)". The record is from RNAcentral. Lineage: Eukaryota; Viridiplantae; Streptophyta; Magnoliopsida; Malvales; Malvaceae.
UCUCCAUCUGGUGAAAAGCUCAGAGCUGAUAUUACUGUAGUCACUGACAUUUCGGGUGCUCGUAAAAGCAAACUUGGAAGUCCAGGAGGUCCACUUGCAUCCAAAACUUUGAUUUUUGUCGCACUACAUAGAGAAACAAAACCUACUUCAUUUCUAGUAGAACAAAUAUGAAAACUACCGGGGCUUCAAAAACAUGUAGCAAUGAAGAAACUGGAAAGAUAGCAAUACAAUAACAGUUAACCAACAAAACAAAAAAUGAAGUACAGAAUAUUAUUGUCACAUAAUCUCCUGAAAAGAAUCACGAAUAACAAGAUAUCAUUGCCACGUAACCUCUGGGAUGCUACAGAUAGAAUUCCUCACUAAUAAUUUUCCAUUUAGAAGGAGAAAUAAACAGAUGUUUUAGGAUCCCCUUCUUGCCUAUAAUGAAAGAUAAAAUCCCCCAAAAGCACCAUUAGAUUCUGAUACAUGAGAAAAAGUGGGGGAGAUGUUUAUGUAUUAAACUUUGUUAUUCGAUGUGAACUAACAGGAAUUUCCCAAUGAAUAAAUCAGGGUAACUCAAAAACCAUUACUCUUUGUUUUACCAGAGGGAAAUUCAGGGCACGGGUUUUGGAUUAAUUCAGUUUUAAAUUAGAAGAUACCUGAAACUUAACUGGACAAGCUAACAGAAAGAAAAUCAGACUGUAUUGACUAUUGAGAAAAGCAAUAAGAUUUCAUGAUAUGAGUAAUGCAAAACCGACAUUCACUCUACCAAUCAUCAUGGAUACAUAUUUAGAUAAGGGAUAUCCGGUCAUCAGUGCUCUGUUACUGCUAGCAACAAUCUAGAUAGAGAUAUCCAGCAACAACCUUAAUAUUCAGCUAAUUAUUAUAGAAAUAAAUGACCAUCCCAUUUUCACAUUAAGCUUCACUCCAAUGCAAGUUUCUUCUUACAAGUCACAAUAAACUAGGUAGAAUGAAACCCUGUUGUAGAGGAUUUAUUCAUAUUUCAUGUCAAAUGGAUGAAAGUUACCAUAUAAUAAUUUUUUACCUUAAUUACAGCCUUCUUAAUUCAAAAUCUAUUUUUGAUCUUGUUACCUUUGCAUGUCAUAUACCCGAAUGCUA